RNAcentral lists this ribosomal RNA (234 nucleotides) under Clostridioides difficile. RNAcentral's name for it is "partial 23S ribosomal RNA". It matches the Rfam family "Bacterial large subunit ribosomal RNA", at positions 1231 to 1465 of the family's 2925-position model. The record is from RNAcentral. Lineage: Bacteria; Bacillati; Bacillota; Clostridia; Peptostreptococcales; Peptostreptococcaceae.
GGGGAGCUUCCCGUAGGGGUUGAAGCAUGACCGUAAGGACAUGUGGACAGUAUGGGAGUGAGAAUGUUGGCAUGAGUAGCGAAAUGUGUGUGAGAAUCUCACUGGCCGUAAACCCAAGGUUCCCAGGUGAAGGUUCAUCCGCCCUGGGUUAGUCGGUACCUAAGCUGAGGCAGAAAGGCGUAUGUGAUGGACAACAAGUUGAUAUUCCUGUACUACCGAUAACCGUUUGAGAGA